ACAGAGAAUAGUUUAAUUUAGAACGGUAGUUUUGGGGACUAUUGGAGUGAGUGGGGAGUCUUACUUUUCUGA
This 72-nucleotide transfer RNA is filed under the name Protoreaster nodosus. RNAcentral describes it as "tRNA-Pro". The record is from RNAcentral. Lineage: Eukaryota; Metazoa; Echinodermata; Asteroidea; Valvatida; Oreasteridae.